GGUAAAGCUAAAUGUAUUAUGUAAUAAUACGGANUCGAUUUNUUCGUAUAAAGUUCUAGAUAGAAUUANGAUAAUGACNUUNUCUAUCUAUAAGUCUUGACCAAAUUACGUGCCAGCAGUCGCGGUAAGACGUAAAAGACUAGUGUUAUUCAUCUUUAAUAGGUUUAAAGCGUACCUAGACGGUAAAUAAAGCCUUAACUGGGACUAAUUUAACUAGAGUUAAAUGUAAGGGUGCAUAAACGUACUGUUGAGUGUAGAGAUGAAAUUCUAUUAUACCAGAUAAUUGGCACGGGUUUAGGCGAAAGCAUCACCUUAUGUAAUAACUGACGUUGUGGGACGAAGGCUUUGUAUCGCGAACAGGAUUAGAUACCCUAGUAGUCUAAGCAGAAAAUGAUGAGUGUCAUAGGUUAAAUAUUAUUUUUUCUAUAAAUGAAAGUGUAAGCAUUCCACCUCAAGAGUAAUUUGGCAACAUUGGAAUUGAAAUCAUUAGACCGUUUUUGAAACCAGUAGUGAAGUAUGUUGUUUAAUUAGCCAGCCCUCUAAGAACCUUACCACAACUUGAAUAUUUUACAAGCGUUGCACGGCUGUCUUUAGCUAAUGUCGUGAGAUUGUGGUUAGUUCCAUUAAAUUAGCGUAAACCCUUACUUUAUUUUAUUUUUAUAUAAA
RNAcentral lists this ribosomal RNA (666 nucleotides) under Rostania ceranisca. RNAcentral's name for it is "SSU rRNA". It matches the Rfam family "Bacterial small subunit ribosomal RNA", at positions 390 to 1132 of the family's 1533-position model. Lineage: Eukaryota; Fungi; Ascomycota; Lecanoromycetes; Peltigerales; Collemataceae. The record is from RNAcentral.